AGCGUACACGGUGGAUGCCCUGGCAGUCAGAGGCGAUGAAGGACGUGCUAAUCUGCGAUAAGCGUCGGUAAGGUGAUAUGAACCGUUAUAACCGGCGAUUUCCGAAUGGGGAAACCCAGUGUGUUUCGACACACUAUCAUUAACUGAAUCCAUAGGUUAAUGAGGCGAACCGGGGGAACUGAAACAUCUAAGUACCCCGAGGAAAAGAAAUCAACCGAGAUUCCCCCAGUAGCGGCGAGCGAACGGGGAGGAGCCCAGAGCCUGAAUCAGUGUGUGUGUUAGUGGAAGCGUCUGGAAAGGCGCGCGAUACAGGGUGACAGCCCCGUACACAAAAAUGCACAUGCUGUGAGCUCGAUGAGUAGGGCGGGACACGUGGUAUCCUGUCUGAAUAUGGGGGGACCAUCCUCCAAGGCUAAAUACUCCUGACUGACCGAUAGUGAACCAGUACCGUGAGGGAAAGGCGAAAAGAACCCCGGCGAGGGGAGUGAAAAAGAACCUGAAACCGUGUACGUACAAGCAGUGGGAGCCUCUUUUAUGGGGUGACUGCGUACCUUUUGUAUAAUGGGUCAGCGACUUAUAUUCUGUAGCAAGGUUAACCGAAUAGGGGAGCCGAAGGGAAACCGAGUCUUAACUGGGCGUUAAGUUGCAGGGUAUAGACCCGAAACCCGGUGAUCUAGCCAUGGGCAGGUUGAAGGUUGGGUAACACUAACUGGAGGACCGAACCGACUAAUGUUGAAAAAUUAGCGGAUGACUUGUGGCUGGGGGUGAAAGGCCAAUCAAACCGGGAGAUAGCUGGUUCUCCCCGAAAGCUAUUUAGGUAGCGCCUCGUGAAUUCAUCUCCGGGGGUAGAGCACUGUUUCGGCAAGGGGGUCAUCCCGACUUACCAACCCGAUGCAAACUGCGAAUACCGGAGAAUGUUAUCACGGGAGACACACGGCGGGUGCUAACGUCCGUCGUGAAGAGGGAAACAACCCAGACCGCCAGCUAAGGUCCCAAAGUCAUGGUUAAGUGGGAAACGAUGUGGGAAGGCCCAGACAGCCAGGAUGUUGGCUUAGAAGCAGCCAUCAUUUAAAGAAAGCGUAAUAGCUCACUGGUCGAGUCGGCCUGCGCGGAAGAUGUAACGGGGCUAAACCAUGCACCGAAGCUGCGGCAGCGACGCUUAUGCGUUGUUGGGUAGGGGAGCGUUCUGUAAGCCUGUGAAGGUGUACUGUGAGGUAUGCUGGAGGUAUCAGAAGUGCGAAUGCUGACAUAAGUAACGAUAAAGCGGGUGAAAAGCCCGCUCGCCGGAAGACCAAGGGUUCCUGUCCAACGUUAAUCGGGGCAGGGUGAGUCGACCCCUAAGGCGAGGCCGAAAGGCGUAGUCGAUGGGAAACAGGUUAAUAUUCCUGUACUUGGUGUUACUGCGAAGGGGGGACGGAGAAGGCUAUGUUGGCCGGGCGACGGUUGUCCCGGUUUAAGCGUGUAGGCUGGUUUUCCAGGCAAAUCCGGAAAAUCAAGGCUGAGGCGUGAUGACGAGGCACUACGGUGCUGAAGCAACAAAUGCCCUGCUUCCAGGAAAAGCCUCUAAGCAUCAGGUAACAUCAAAUCGUACCCCAAACCGACACAGGUGGUCAGGUAGAGAAUACCAAGGCGCUUGAGAGAACUCGGGUGAAGGAACUAGGCAAAAUGGUGCCGUAACUUCGGGAGAAGGCACGCUGAUGCGUAGGUGAAGUCCCUUGCGGAUGGAGCUGAAAUCAGUCGAAGAUACCAGCUGGCUGCAACUGUUUAUUAAAAACACAGCACUGUGCAAACACGAAAGUGGACGUAUACGGUGUGACGCCUGCCCGGUGCCGGAAGGUUAAUUGAUGGGGUUAGCGGUAACGCGAAGCUCUUGAUCGAAGCCCCGGUAAACGGCGGCCGUAACUAUAACGGUCCUAAGGUAGCGAAAUUCCUUGUCGGGUAAGUUCCGACCUGCACGAAUGGUGUAAUGAUCCGGACGCUGUCUCAACCGUGAUUCCAGUGAAAUUGUAGUAUCGGUGAAGAUGCCGAUUACCCGCGAUGGGACGAAAAGACCCCGUGAACCUUUACUGCAGCUUAGCGCUGACCCCGGCCAUCCGAUGUGUAGGAUAGGCCGGAGGCUUUGAACCCGCGGCGCCAGCCGCGGCGGAGCCUUCCUUGAAAUACGGCCCUUCGGCUGUCUGGGGUCUAACCCGCGGUUUGUGGGGACACCGCUUGGCGGGCAGUUUGACUGGGGUGGUCGCCUCCAAAAGCGUAACGGAGGCUUCCAAAGGUGCCCUCGGGCCGUUCGGUAACCGGCCUUAUGGAGUGCAAUGGCAUAAGGGCGCCUGACUGGGAGGGGGACACCCCGAGCAGGCAGGAAACUGGGGCAUAGUGAUCCGGCGGACGUGCAUGGAAACUCCGUCGCUCAAAGGAUAAAAGGUACUCCGGGGAUAACAGGCUGAUCCCCCCCAAGAGCUCAUAUCGACGGGGUGGUUUGGCACCUCGAUGUCGGCUCGUCACAUCCUGGGGCUGGAGAAGGUCCCAAGGGUUGGGCUGUUCGCCCAUUAAAGUGGCACGCGAGCUGGGUUCAGAACGUCGUGAGACAGUUCGGUCUCUAUCUAUCGUGGGCGUUGGAGUUUUGCGCGGGUCUGACACUAGUACGAGAGGACCGUGUCGGACGGACCUCCGGUCUGCCGGUUGUGCCGCCAGGCGCACCGCCGGGUAGCCGCGUCCGGCCGGGAUAAGCGCUGAAGGCAUCUAAGCGCGAAGCCCUCCGCAAGAUGAGAACUCCUUGAUAUGAGGGCCGUCAGAGACGAUGACGUUGAUAGGGCGCAGGUGUAAAGGCGGCGACGCCAAAGCCGAGCGCUACUAAUUGCCCGAAGCUUUCCCC
This 2869-nucleotide ribosomal RNA is filed under the name human gut metagenome. RNAcentral describes it as "bacterial LSU rRNA". It matches the Rfam family "Bacterial large subunit ribosomal RNA". The record is from RNAcentral.